This is an RNA transcript of Misgurnus anguillicaudatus (oriental weatherfish), 7900 nucleotides long. RefSeq lists it as uncharacterized. NCBI's taxonomy places the organism in Eukaryota, Metazoa, Chordata, Actinopteri, Cypriniformes, Cobitidae. The record is from RefSeq and is a predicted model, not a curated record.
AAAGACUCUGUUCAGAUAUCCUUCUUUAAUGAUAAGGCUGUACUGAGGUCAGUCUGGCAUUGACACGGGGUGUGGUUUAAACUGAGACUGCGCGAGAGCAGCAGGAGAAGUGGCUUUAUAUUGCAAUGGCAGACCGCAAAGUUUGCCGUCUCCGUAACUUUUAUAGAAACGGAGCGUAUUAAUCUUGCAGAAAUCUAUGCAACACGUUUAAUCGUCCCAUAAAGAGCCAGAGUCUGUGAUGAUCUACCGAAUGACAGCGGAUGGGUGUGAUUGACCAGUCAUUUGUUUGAUGUUUCUCCGUGAUGGUUAUAAGUGUGCGUCAUUGACGAUCGUAAGUUGAAAUGUGUUUAUAUUUAUUGUCAUAUGUUUCAAAUGAGUGAUAAUCACUGUAUAUCACAAUAACUAAAUGUUAAGUUGGUUGUCAUAUAAUAUAUAAGCAUAUUUGUAGAUUAUCAAAGUAAAUGCCAUCAUUACGUUUCUACCUGUGAUGAUGUAGCGAUUAUUUAUGCUAAACGGUUAGCACUGAAUGCACAUUUCUAACAUUUGCGAAGAUUAUCAUGGUAAUUGUAUUUAUUUGUUUUAUUGUAGAACCACACACACACACACAAACACAUACAUAACUUCACAUAGGUGCACGUGUACAUCAACUGGACACGUGUGUCAUCCUUCAUCGCCACGUGAGAAGACAUCAACGAACCAACGACAACGGAUCACUACCUCUUAUAUCAGAUAAGACAUUCGGACAUUUGGGACUGUUAAUAACUUUACUUAAGAAUUUAAUUCUGUGUUGAUACAUCGUCACAACUGCAAUUAUCUGUAUUAUUUACCUUCACUACUUCAACUGCUGUAUUUAACAAUUUAUUUAUGUAGGCCUACGUUCUUUAUUUGUAUAUUUAUUUGAGUAAUUGCAUUGUUAUGAGUGUUUAAUUAUUGUUACAAUUUCUAUUUGAUUAUUUAAUAGAAAUUCAGUUCAUUGAACAAAGUCUCUUGCUCUUCAUUUAUUCCUUGGGUCCUGGACGUUAAUUGUGAUUAAAAGAUCCUCUGAGGUGAUUGGCAUCGUAAUAGUAACUAGUGCAUUUCAGUUCCUUGCAAACAUUAAAUGGUCCUUCGAGCCGGAUGCUAUAACUGCUUCAGCUAUGACGUCCAGACCCAGGGAAAAGUUAGUAGAGCAAGAGGUGGUAAGGCCACGCAGGGUAAUUCGUCCGCCUUUGCAUCUGCAGGAUUAUGAGGUUAGCUAUCCUCAAAGGCACCUUACAUUUCCAGAUGAGCAGGUUAGUGUUGUAACAAAUGCUGAUGUUCUCUCAUGUAUUCGUGAAAUGAGAGAAGAAAGCAGGCAGCUCAGACAAGAUGUUCAGCGCAUUUCAGACAUAAUUGCCACUUCUCCUGGGUUAGCUCCGCCGCAGGUCUCAUCUCCAUCACAUGGUAUGGACUAUAGGGUGUCAUCAACACCAAUAGCUGCUAGUAUGUUGGCUCCACAACAGGAUGAUCGAAAACCAAGCCAAGCAGAAAAUACUCCAGUGCUGCCCCCUAGAGAUGAGUCCUUACACAAACGUGGAGAUGGCCACCAAGACCUCAUAGCAGAUCUUACUCACAGCUUAAAGACAAUGGGCAAACUAAGCAGUAGUCAGUCACAUUCAGGACAGUCAACUCCUCAGUAUACAGAACCGCCUCAGUGUGAUAAUGACUCGUCGCAAUACUUACCCAGUCAUGCUGCUAAUGUUCACGAAUCGAGACAAUCUCAAUAUGAUCGUCAUUGGUGUCAGUCUGAUAAUCCAAAGUUGCAGCGGCCCAAUCCAUCAUCCUACCCUGCAUGGGAUUCUCAACAUUCUCUAAAUAAUGCUAAGGUUGGUCAUCCAUAUUCAGAAUUCCAAUCUGCUAAUGAUACUUAUGAUCCAUACAGUGGCGACAGAGGGCGCACUUUGCAGAGGACUUCAUUAUUCGAUUCAAGACCUUACUUUCAGCAUAAUAGGAGACAUGAGAGCUAUUGUGACAAUGAACGGUUUCACUUAUCUGAUGCAUCAUUUCCUCCUUUGGAAGAACGUGGUCUUGAUCGUGGCUUGUUCCUUUCACCAGUGCAGUACCGUGGGCCCACUCCUACUAUCCCUGACUUUGUUCAUGAUGACCCGCGUGAAUUCACCAGACUUAAGAUUGCUUUAGACAAUGUACUGCCUAAUAACGCUACUGAAUCUUUCAAGUUUCAAAUCUUAAUGGACCAUCUUAAGUUAGAGGAUGCUCUACUUGUUGCUGAUUCUUACAGUCAUAGUAGUUAUCCCUUUAGUGACACUAUGAGAGCACUUACUGACAUGUAUGGGCAGCCACAUCAGUUAGCGUUGCAACGGAUUAGCCAAUUGAUGGAUGGACCCAAUAUAAAAAGUGGUGAUGUCAAAGCUUUCAAAGCCUUCGCCCUCAGAGUCAGAGCAUUAGUCGGGAUGUUGAAUCAGUUAGGAAGCCCAGGCUGGACGGAGCUAAAGUGUGGUUCACAUGUAUCUCGCCUCUUAGCUAAGUUACCUUAUGACCUAAGAGCCAACUUCAAGAGAUUUGUUAAUCCCCUUCAGAAUCCCGUUCCUACUCUGAUUGAUUUGGCAGAUUGGCUUGAAUAUGAGGUCCGUGUGCAGGUGGAAGGAACGCAGUAUGGCACAUACCAUGAACCUGACAAGCAAGCUUUCCGCAAAGACAAAAGGGUUGGAUUCAUGCAACGAAAACAGACCACUGUCCUGCAUGGAGGAGAACAGACAUGUUUGUCCAUCGAAAAUGUGAAAACGACAUCAGUGUCUACAGAUAAGAAACCAGAAAAGCCUAAAAAGUACUGCCCAUUCUGCGAUUCUAUUCAGCACUAUAUGAAUCAGUGUUCUAACUUUAAGCUGUUGACAAAAGAGCAAAUUGAGAACUGGAUCAAGACUGGUAACAGAUGCUGGAGAUGUGGCAGAGGUCAUCAUUCCUCAAAGUGUACUUUGAAAGCAAAAUGCAAAAAGUGUGAAAGGAGACAUCUUGAGGUUCUUCAUGAUGUAAAUGCCAGCUCUGAUUCAAAAUGGAAGGACAGAAGUAAAGAGUCAGAAGGGAACACAAUCCCACUCACUUCCACUUCCCAGACUUUAUACUUGGAUCGGCCUACAAGUGGUAGACAGGUAUUGCUCAAAUUAAGUCGGGUUGUACUUUGGAAUGGUGAUAAAUCACUAGAGACCUAUGCAGUGCUGGAUGACGGCUCCGAACGGACAAUUCUGCUGCAUGAUGCUGCUCAACGUUUAGGUCUGCAAGGAAAACCUGAAGACUUAGCCCUUCGUACUGUCAGACAGGAAGUCCAUACCAUACAAGGACAUUCAGUGUCAUUUUCUAUAUCGCCAGUCUCAUUACCUGACAGAGCAUUUCAAAUUCAUGGAGCAUUUACUGCUAAAGAGCUGGGUCUUGUUCAACACACAUAUCCCAUCACUUACUUACAAGAAAAGUACCACCACUUAAGAAAUUUGCCUCUGCCUGAUAUCACUCAAGCCCAACCAUUGGUGCUCAUUGGCUCGGACUAUCCUCAUCUGAUUACACCUGUAGAACCUGUGAGAUUAGGCCCGCCAGGUGGGCCAGCAGCUGUACAUACACGUCUUGGGUGGACAUUACAGGGUCCAUCAAGAUUCCUUCAGUCUGUGUUGCAGCCACAGGAAUGUCUUUUUGUAUCUUGCUCAUCUCCAGAGACUGAACUUUUUAAUCAAGUUGAAAGGCUUUGGAAACUGGACAUUGUACCUUAUCAGUCUGAGAAGGUUGUCACUCGUUCACGACAAGACACAGAAGCAAUUCGUAUCUUGCAAGAGAAGACAAUCAGGAUGGAUAUAGAAGGGGUCCAAAGAUACGCUACUCCACUACUAUGGAAGGAAUCUCUCCCACCAUUGAAUGCACCAAAGGAAGCUGUGUUAGCCCUCCUCCACAGCACAGAAAGACGCCUAAUGAGGGAGCCUCAGAGGGCAAUAAGUUACAACGCUGAGAUUCAGAAGCUAAUACAGGCAGGCUAUAUUACCCCGCUCACUACAAACCAGUGUGACCUGAGUCUUCAUUCGUGGUACAUACCACAUCAUAUGGUUAAUCAUAACGGCAAAGACCGCAUUGUGUUUAAUUGUUCCUUUGAGUUCCAAGGCCAGUCUCUAAAUGAGCACCUCAUGCCCGGGCCUACUCUAGGAGCAAGUUUGUUGGGAGUUCUACUGCGCUUCAGGGAACACCCUGUAGCGAUCUGCAGUGAUAUACGCGGAAUGUUUCAUCAAGUCCGCCUCCUUGAUGAAGACAAACCAUACCUCAGAUUCUUGUGGCGCAAUGAAAAAACAAUGGAACCUGCCACAGUCUAUCAAUGGGAGGUUCUUCCGUUUGGGACCACUUGUAGCCCCUGCUGUGCUACAUUUGCCCUUCAGUCACACGUAAAGAAUUACCUUGAGCCUACAGAUGAGGUGAGAAAAACAGUGGAGCGUGGAUUCUAUGUAGACAACUGUUUACAAAGUGUGCCAACUGAAGAACAGGCUGAGAAACUAGUUCACAGAUUGCAGGAUCAUCUAUCAAAGGGUGGAUUUGAGCUGAGGCAGUGGGCAAGCAAUGUCCCUACAGUUAUUCAACACCUUCCAGCUGAGCUAAGAUCAGAUAGCAGUGAGAUCUGGCUUAGUCAAGGGACAGACAAUCCUCAAGAAAGGACCCUUGGCCUACUAUGGCAAUGCAAACUGGAUACGUUAGCAUAUAAGCCCCACCAAGGUGAAGAUGGUGAAAUCACAAUGCGGACAAUCUACCGUACUCUGGCAAAACAGUAUGAUCCCCUUGGGUUUCUUAUCCCCUAUACCACAAGGGCUAAGAUCAUUGUCCAAAUGUUGUGGGAUAAAAAACGAAGUUGGGAUGACCCUUGCCUUCCUGCUCAUUUACUGGAUGCAUGGCGUCAGUGGGAAAGUGAACUGCCUGCACUAGCCAAGAUAUCACAGCCCAGAUGCUAUAGUUCAUGCCUUCAGUCCACUGUUAAAUGUCGCAACCUACACAUAUUCUGUGAUGCUUCUGAAAAGGCAUAUGGCUCAGUGGCGUAUCUGACAACAGAAGAUGAUCAGAGCAAUAUUCAGGUAUCCUUCCUAGCUGCAAGAUCCAGAGUUGCACCCAAGAAGCAGCUCUCCAUAGCACGAUUGGAGCUCUGUGCAGCAUUGACAGGAGCACAGCUAGGUUCGGUGUUGCAAAAAGAGCUGACCUUGGAAAUUCACAACUGUGUGUUCUGGACUGAUUCAACCACAGUUCUUGCCUGGCUCCAAUCUGACUCUUGCCGGUACAAAGUAUUUGUGGGAGUCCGAAUUACUGAAAUUCAAGAGCUGUCUGACCCCAAAACAUGGCGUUAUGUUAACUCAUCAUCUAAUCCUGCUGAUGACAUAACAAGAGGUCUAACAUUGGAUCAGUUGGCUGGAAAUACUUCUUGGAACAAAGGUCCAGACUUUUUGCUGUAUCCUAGUUCUUACUGGCCAAAGACACCAGAAUGCCUAAACACUGAAGACAUUCAAGAGCUUAAGAAAUCUGCAUUUUGUGGGGUAGUGAAUGAGACUAAAGGAACUGUAAUACCAGAUGCCCUCCAAUUUCAAAGUUAUCAAGAACUUCUGGAAGCCACAGUGCAGUCCCUGAAUGGGGCGGCCGCCAAUAAAGGACCGCCUGAUGCAGAUGACUUUAGUGAGGCAGAAUUAACUGUUUUGAGACACUGUCAGAUGCAAGACUUCCCUGAAGAGUAUGCUUUGCUUAAGGAAGGGAAGAAUGUGCCUAAUCGCAGCAGAUUAAUGAAACUCACUCCCGAAUAUGACAACAACUCUGCAUUGAUUAGAGUAGGAGGAAGGCUUCGUAGAUGUGACAGUCUAAACGAUGAAUUUUUGCAUCCUAUAGUCCUGUCUCCAAGUCACCCAGUCUCAAAGCUCCUCAUUAAGCACUAUGACAACAAAUUGCACCAUCCAGGGGCUGGCCGUGUAUAUGCAGAAUUACGACGAAAGUUCUGGAUCCUACGCGGAAGAGAGGCGAUUAAGAAGUACCAACAUGAAUGUUUUGAGUGUAACAAGUGGCGAGGGAAAGCAGCAGUUCCUAGAAUGGCAGACCUCCCUCCAUCAAGUCUCAGAUUGUUUCGACCCCCUUUCUAUUCCACAGGAGUGGAUUGUUUCGGGCCCUUAGUCAUCAAAAUAGGGCGCCGUACGGAGAAAAGAUGGGGCAUUAUAUAUAAAUGUUUGACGACCCGAGCAGUACACCUUGACUUACUCGAUCACAUGGACACUGACUCAUUUUUGAUGUCUCUUAGGCGUUUUAUCGCCCGUAGAGGGAAGCCUUAUGAGCUUCUCUCAGACCAGGGAACAAAUUUUAAAGGAGGACAUACCGAGCUGGAAGAGACUUUUCACCAAAUUCAGCCUACUAUCAAAGACCAGCUAGCCAAAGAACAGAUCAGGUUCCGCUUCAAUCCACCCAGCGCACCACACUUUGGCGGCUCAUGGGAAAGAGAAGUAAGGUCAGUGAAAACAUCACUAAGGACAACACUUGGAGCUCAAGUUGUCACAGAAGAAGUCCUAAGAACCAUCUUGCUUGAGGUUGAAAGUAUUUUAAACUCAAGACCUUUGGGUUAUGUCUCCAGUGAUGUAGGUGACCCAGAUCCUGUGACCCCAAAUUCUUUACUCAUGGGGCGGCCAGAUUCUUCACUGCCACAGGUAGUUUACCCUGAUUCUGAUCUUCUCAGUCGAAAAAGAUGGAGACACAGUCAGAUACUAAGUGACCACUUCUGGAAGCAUUUUAUUCAUGAUUUCCUGCCUACUUUACAAGCACGUCAGAAAUGGAACCAAGACAAAGAAAAUAUUACAGUUGGAACUGUCGUUCUCAUUGCUGAUGAACAAAUGCCAAGAGCCCUCUGGAGAGUAGGCACUGUUACAUCUGUCAUUCCUGGUUCUGAUGGUAGAGUCAGAAGUGCUUCAAUUAAAGUGAAAGACCAUACUUACACCCGACCUAUUGCACGAUUAAUAAGACUACCCGCCUUACCUCCAGACACUGAUGACUCACAAUAAACUUAAUACUGGCAAAUUUGUUACCACAAAUUUGGGGGCGGCUGUAAAAAAGACUCUGUUCAGAUAUCCUUCUUUAAUGAUAAGGCUGUACUGAGGUCAGUCUGGCAUUGACACGGGGUGUGGUUUAAACUGAGACUGCGCGAGAGCAGCAGGAGAAGUGGCUUUAUAUUGCAAUGGCAGACCGCAAAGUUUGCCGUCUCCGUAACUUUUAUAGAAACGGAGCGUAUUAAUCUUGCAGAAAUCUAUGCAACACGUUUAAUCGUCCCAUAAAGAGCCAGAGUCUGUGAUGAUCUACCGAAUGACAGCGGAUGGGUGUGAUUGACCAGUCAUUUGUUUGAUGUUUCUCCGUGAUGGUUAUAAGUGUGCGUCAUUGACGAUCAACCACACACACACACACAAACACAUACAUAACUUCACAUAGGUGCACGUGUACAUCAACUGGACACGUGUGUCAUCCUUCAUCGCCACGUGAGAAGACAUCAACGAACCAACGACAACGGAUCACUACCUCUUAUAUCAGAUAAGACAUUCGGACAUUUGGGACUGUUAAUAACUUUACUUAAGAAUUUAAUUCUGUGUUGAUACAUCGUCACAACUGCAAUUAUCUGUAUUAUUUACCUUCACUACUUCAACUGCUGUAUUUAACAAUUUAUUUAUGUAGGCCUACGUUCUUUAUUUGUAUAUUUAUUUGAGUAAUUGCAUUGUUAUGAGUGUUUAAUUAUUGUUACAAUUUCUAUUUGAUUAUUUAAUAGAAAUUCAGUUCAUUGAACAAAGUCUCUUGCUCUUCAUUUAUUCCUUGGGUCCUGGACGUUAAUUGUGAUUAAAAGAUCCUCUGAGGUGAUUGGCAUCGUAAUAGUAACUAGUGCAUUUCAGUUCCUUGC